This 117-nucleotide ribosomal RNA is filed under the name Pseudomonadota bacterium. Lineage: Bacteria; Pseudomonadati; Pseudomonadota. The record is from RNAcentral. RNAcentral also lists the same sequence under 1 other name.
UUCGGUGACUAUAGCAAAGAGGAUACACCCGUUCCCAUCCCGAACACGGAAGUUAAGCUCUUUAGCGCCGAUGGUACUGCGUGGGCGACUGCGUGGGAGAGUAGGACGUUGCCGAAA